UGCAUUCACUACUGUAAGUCGCUCUGGAUAAGAGCGUCUGCUAAAUGACCUAAA
Molecule: non-coding RNA, 54 nt
Organism: Salmo salar (Atlantic salmon)
Lineage: Eukaryota; Metazoa; Chordata; Actinopteri; Salmoniformes; Salmonidae
Source: Rfam